This is a small nucleolar RNA of Benincasa hispida (wax gourd), 91 nucleotides long. RefSeq annotates it as small nucleolar RNA snoR114. Lineage: Eukaryota; Viridiplantae; Streptophyta; Magnoliopsida; Cucurbitales; Cucurbitaceae. The record is from RefSeq and is a predicted model, not a curated record.
UUGCUGUGAUGAAUUUGGCGCCCAAGUGAUCGUGGGUCGAUCGCAACCAUCUGAUUUUCUUUGGAUGUAAAUCAAUGGCGCUUCUGAGCUU